RNAcentral lists this long non-coding RNA (3901 nucleotides) under Ostreococcus sp. 'lucimarinus'. RNAcentral describes it as "long non-coding RNA (OLUC_LNC000006)". Lineage: Eukaryota; Viridiplantae; Chlorophyta; Mamiellophyceae; Mamiellales; Bathycoccaceae. The record is from RNAcentral.
UAGGAUUGAAUCUUUGAGAACACCGCUCAUGUGCAAUACCCGACCGACAUUUCGCACACUACACGAAACCAAGCGUUCUGUUUCGCUUCUGACACAAAGGUUUACACGUUGGAUGGUAAGCAGGGAUGUAAAUUUUGCCGGCGCGAUAUGUUUUCCUCUUCCGGAACGCCCCACGAGUACGAAGGGUCUAUCACAGAUGGAUGCAUUCCAUUCAUAGAUAAGCGCUCCGAUGCCACCGACACCACCGGUGUAAAUGUCGCUGCACGGGUGUAGAAGCGCAUUAGAGUCGCACUGUGCGAUGUGCUUUGCCAUCGCUCGACGUGGGUCUCGCCACAACAUUUUUGCGUGUAAAUUCGGACAGACCUUCGAUAACGUCGGCGUGCGGACAUGGCGAUUCGAUAUUGAUUUGGCAUGCACCUCGUUCGAAUCAGAAUUUGAAUGAAGAAAGUCGGUUGCUUUUGCGUGCACAAUACUUGAUGCGCCCAAAUCAACGCACACUAAACGCUGUGACAUCUCAUGUGCGCCACUCCUGAAGAUACCCCACAUGGCACCAGCGACCGGAAUACAUCGACCGAUAGAGCUCUGCGUGUCAGCACAUAGGCGUGGACAGGCUGACACCAGCUCUGUUGCUGUCGUGCGAAUCACGCAUAGAUUGGAACUUGCAUGUAAACUCUGCACGGCAAGAGAAGCCACGCGUGAUGCACUUUGCCUCCCCGCAGCUAAAUGCGAGUAUACGUUCGUGACACCUUCUGUACGGAGAAGCGGUCCUCUGUAUGUGUUCUCGGUUUUCCACGUGGCGCGAUAUAUCAUAUCGAUGGCGUGUCUUCCUUGCCUCCCACCAUAAUAGCGCUCUGAUCCCAUCGCUGCAGGCUCUGAGUGAGACGCAACCUUUUUGCCCAGUAGUUCGUGCAUCGCAAGUUGAUUUUCCGUCGCUUGCUGUGCUAUAUGGUCACUCUGCAUCUUUUGCGGCGAGAAGCGUGAUAGUGCGUGGUCUCGGGACCGUGCCAACGAAGUUUGGUGUGUGCAGAUUUCGAGACUCACUGGCAAGUGCAAUUCAAAGCUAUCAUCACUGAAAGUAUUUAGCCUGAGAGCUGAUAAGCUCUGCACGUGCGCAUCGAGCUCUGCGGCAAACGACUGAUCUAGUGUUUGCACCUUUUUACUAUGAACUUUGAAGUGCAAAUCAAGGCUGGAUUUGGAGACGUUUGCGUAAUACACUUUCGGCGAUGGAGUUCGUUGCGUGAGCAUGGUCUGCACUACUUUACAAGACGUGUGCCCUGCUCGUUGUGACGAUACGGAAAUACUGCCGGUAGUUUGCGAUAUUUUGAACGAUAAUGCAUCGUUGCGCCAAGUAUCCAACAAACAGGCAGCAUGUAUUUGCGUGCGACGCACCACGUUAACAGUCAUUGUGUGGAGUUGCUUUACACAAGUGAGGGUCAGCUCCAGAAAGCUGGUAGCGGGGAGAACCAAGCGGCCACGAACGCAGUGAUCGCGAUCUAUAUGUCGUGUUUUUAAUGGUGGGAGUUGAAUCCGUAGGCAUUCGCUCGUCUCGACUGCGUGCACGAGCCGCAGGCCAAAGGCAGCAUGUGAUAUCCAACACUCGAUGCUGUGUUGCAUGACAGAAGCAUCUGGCAAGUAUUUCAUCACGUAAUCGCGUCGAACAGAUACGUGUGCGUUCGUUCCUUGAAAUGCAAACGCGCUCACUCCUCGGUUUACGGCGUGUGCAUCACAUUGCCACGCACUUUGCGUUGCCUGGCGUGGAAGAGCGAUUCCGCAUCGCUCAGCCGUAUCUUGAUUCAGAAUACUCUGAAUGUGGGUGCUGAGCUGGCAUAGGUGCACGAGCGCAGGAGUGUUCAAGCGAAAUAUGCAAUCAACAAUGCCACACAGACCCAUACCGCCCGAAGCUGGCUCGGUGUGUCCGCAGCGAGUCUUCAUUGCUGAAAAAGUAACGACUGGCAAUCUUUUGAGGCUGCUAAGUACGGUGCGCGCUGCGCCAACUUCUAUAGGAUCCCCCAGAGACGUGCCAGUACCAUGAAGCUCUAUACCACCAGAAGAGCUGUUAUCAUUACCAGACUGGAGCAUGGUGUGCAAAAUCACGCUCUGCUGCGAUGGGCCAUGGGGGGCUGUGAGAGAGCUUGAGCGUCCAUCUUGGUUGACAGAAGAUGCAGAAGCGUAAAACAUGCAGUAGUCGUCGCGCACGCCGUCGCUGUGCGGUGUCAAGAGCAGCAACGUUGAUCCUUCUCCUCGAACGUAGCCGUUUGCAGCCAUGUCCAGAGUCUUACAUCGCCCAUCAUCUGCCAGCAUCCCCGCAGUUCUAAAAACAAUAGUCGUCGUCGGGUUCAGGGUGAUGUUCACGCCGCAACAUAUCAUGCUGUCGCAUUCUCCCGUGAGCACUGCGUUACGCGCUACAUGUGAUCCAACUAAAGACGACGAGCACGCUGUGUCGAUGCUUGCACACGUUCCGCGCAGAUUGUAUGUGAAAGAAAUCCGUCCACACGCAACACUGAGUGAGCCACCAGUUGCUUGAAGCUUGCCGGCACGAGAGGUGAUCGCGCUGUAAUCAGUGCUAGAUAUACCGACAACAACGCCACAUCCCUCGCUAUAUUGGCCGUUUACUGCAUGUGCGCGCCCAUCUAAGGCGCGCGCUAGAAGGAUGCGCUGCUGUGGGUCCACGGCAGUAGCUUCUGCACGUCGCAUUGAAAACAGGGCAAUAUCAAAAUAUUCAAUGUUAUGGAGAAAUCUACCAAACCGUAUCAGGGCGUAAUCGUCGGCUCUAAUAUCCCACCGAUUUUCAGGCACACCACUUACGUCAUCCAGUGCGUGCUGAUACUGCCCGGGGCUGCUGACUGAUGAUAUGCACACUUGAGCUGAGUACGUGACAUCAAUAGUACUAUUACGGAGCACCUGUGCACUUCCGUAAUUCGAUUUUCCAUGCGACAGUUCACCCGCCACGGCUUCUGCAAGUGCAUAUACGCUAGGAUGAUCAAAUACAACCGUCGACGGGAGCUGCACAGCGAAUUCAUCGUUCAGUCUGCUUCGCAAUUCAACGGCGCCGAGUGAGUCAAGACCCGCAUCCAACAGUGGCUCCUUUGCAUCCAAUGGUCUACCAACCGCAUCAUUCACUAUACUCGCUACACGUCCCGCAAUUUCGUCGCCGUGGAUCACGCAUGAUGGUACGCCACGUUCUCCGGCUGAUAUCUUGAUCUUGAGUUGUGUGCUAUUUUGAUCGACGUAUGGUGCAUUUGGCGGGGAAACCGCACUGUGUGAUGUAGAUACACUCCAUGCAUGUAAGCCGGUUGCACGCAGUGGGCAAACGGCGUAGAUUGAGAACAUAUUUGGAGGUUGAAUGAGAGUGCGUAGCGUUCUCAGCGCAGUGUGUGGGUCAAUCACUUCUAUCCCUAGAGAUCCAAAGUUUCUGGGUGUACCCACUGCAGAACGCACAGCCAUGCCAUAGGAUCCACCCCAGGGUCCCCACUGGAGACUCAUGCACCGCCAUCCCAUCGUCGUGCCGAGUUGAGCGAGUGUGUCGAGCAGUGCGUUAGCACCUGCAUAGUUAGUUUGACCCGGCGAGCCGAGCAAUGCAGCUAUGGACGAGAAGAAAACAUGUGUCAAAGACAUUUGAGGGAGAUUUUCAUGACACACCGCUUGUGCACCUUGUGUUUUGUUUGCAAACGCAAUCGAGACUGUGGAAAACGUUUGCUUCAUUAGGAUUGAAUCUUUGAGAACACCGCUCAUGUGCAAUACCCGACCGACAUUUCGCACACUACACGAAACCAAGCGUUCUGUUUCGCUUCUGACACAAAGGUUUACACGUUGGAUGGUAAGCAGGGAUGUAAAUUUUGCCGGCGCGAUAUGUUUUCCUCUUCCGGAACGCCCCACGAGUACGAAGGGUCUAUCACAGAUG